AGCUAGGCUCACAACCUGGCCAGUCACAGUAACCAGGAGGCGUUGGAGAUCUCCAGCUGCAUUCUUCUCAAGCACGAUGGAAAAGUCCUCGUCCCCAGGCUUUGGGUGGCAGACUUGGGCCAAGACAUAGGAGCAGGAGCCAUGCAGGUCGUAGACACGGCCAUCAAGGGUGAUGUAGUGGAUGCCCCCGUUGGCCAGGCAGCGGCCACAGCCUGUGGCAUGACAGGCCUGGACACCAUCCUCUAACCGGCACUCCUCAUGGGGCCCACAGGCUGCGCCCUCCUGGCAGGUGACAUGGCCACCUGGCCCACACUCACAACGCCGCUCACACUCAGGGCCCGGGUAGAAGACUUCGCCCAGUGGGUAGUAGCGGCCAUCAUGGAGGCAGCCACACUGGCCCACGGGUACGCAGGUGUCACCACUGAGCACGAAGCCAGCAUCACAGACACAGCCUUCACGGCAGGCCGACUCACAGCCCUCGGGUGCCGAGAGGCUCGGGCAGCUCCCAGG
This 510-nucleotide long non-coding RNA is filed under the name Pan troglodytes (chimpanzee). RNAcentral describes it as "long non-coding RNA NONPTRT008128". Lineage: Eukaryota; Metazoa; Chordata; Mammalia; Primates; Hominidae. The record is from RNAcentral.